AAUGAACGCUGGCGGCAUGCCUAACACAUGCAAGUCGAACGAAAACACGGGGAGAUUUUGCCCCUGCGGGUGGCGCGGGACGGACGGGUGACACAUGGAUCGCAUACCUCUUAGACGGGGGUGAUAACGGCGGAAAAGAUCUGCUAACAGAGAAUAUAUCGUACGGGAGUGAUCAAGAGUUAAAGGAGCUUUUGGUGAUUGUAAGAGCCGAAUCCGGGGCGGAUCAGCUAGUUGGUAAAGUAACGGCUUAGCAACGCUACGAUGCGUAUCCGAUCUGAGAGGGUGAUCGGCCACACUGGAACUGAGACACGGUCCAGACUCCUACGGGAGGCAGCAGUGGGGAAUCUUACGCAAUGGGCGAAAGCCUGAUAGAGCAAUACCGCGUGAGUGAUGAAGGUCUUCGGAUGGUAAAGCCCUGUUGUUGGGAAAGAACAAAAGCGGGUUUAACCCGGACGGUCUUGACGGUACCCAAAGAAUAAGCACCGGCUAACUACGUG
RNAcentral lists this ribosomal RNA (497 nucleotides) under uncultured bacterium. RNAcentral's name for it is "partial 16S ribosomal RNA". It matches the Rfam family "Bacterial small subunit ribosomal RNA", at positions 29 to 507 of the family's 1533-position model. The record is from RNAcentral.